AGAGUUUGAUCAUGGCUCAGAAUCAACGCUGGCGGCGUGCCCAAUACAUGCAAGUCGAACGCGAAAGCUCCGCAAGGGGUAAGUAGAGUGGCAAACGGGUGAGUAACGCGUGGGCGACCUACCUUCGAGUGGGGGAUAACCUUCCGAAAGGAGGGCUAAUACCGCAUGACAUCCCGUGUUUGGAUACACGGACAUCAAAGUCGGGGAUCGCAAGACCUGACGCUUGGAGAGGGGCCUGCGUCCGAUUAGCUAGUUGGUGGGGUAAUGGCCCACCAAGGCUUCGAUCGGUAUCCGGCCUGAGAGGGCGGACGGACACACUGGGACUGAGACACGGCCCAGACUCCUACGGGAGGCAGCAGUAGGGAAUUGUUCGCAAUGGGCGCAAGCCUGACGACGCAACGCCGCGUGGAGGAUGAAGACCUUCGGGUCGUAAACUCCUUUCGACCGAGAUGAAUACUCACCGACCCAACACGUCGGUGAGCUGACAGUAUCGAGGGAAGAAGCCCCGGCUAACUCCGUGCCAGCAGCCGCGGUAAUACGGGGGGGGCAAGCGUUGUUCGGAAUUACUGGGCGUAAAGGGUUCGUAGGUGGCCUGCUAAGUCACACGUGAAAUCCCUCAGCUUAACUGGGGAACUGCGUGUGAGACUGGCGGGCUUGAGUGCAGGAGAGGAACGCGGAAUUCCAGGUGUAGCGGUGAAAU
This 700-nucleotide ribosomal RNA is filed under the name uncultured bacterium. RNAcentral describes it as "bacterial SSU rRNA". It matches the Rfam family "Bacterial small subunit ribosomal RNA", at positions 8 to 687 of the family's 1533-position model. The record is from RNAcentral.